This 378-nucleotide ribosomal RNA is filed under the name uncultured bacterium. Its description in RNAcentral is "bacterial SSU rRNA". It matches the Rfam family "Bacterial small subunit ribosomal RNA", at positions 521 to 896 of the family's 1533-position model. The record is from RNAcentral.
UAAUACGUAGGGGGCAAGCGUUGUCCGGAUUUAUUGGGCGUAAAGGGCACGCAGGCGGUCUACUGCGUUUGGAGUGACAGGUGGUGGCUCAACUGCCACAGGCCUCUCAAAUACGGGUAGACUUGAGGGCGAGAGAGGGAUGCGGAAUUCCAGGUGGAGCGGUGAAAUGCGUAGAGAUCUGGAAGAACACCAAUGGCGAAGGCAGCAUCCUGGAUCGUUACUGACGCUCAUGUGCGAAAGCCAGGGGAGCGAACGGGAUUAGAUACCCCGGUAGUCCUGGCUGUAAACGAUGACCACUAGACGUAGGGGGUAUCGACCCCUUCUGUGUCGCAGCUAACGCAAGAAGUGGUCCGCCUGGGGAGUACGGUCGCAAGAUUA